AUUGAACGCUGGCGGCGUGCUUAACACAUGCAAGUCGAUCGGUAACAGGUGUAGCAAUACAUGCUGACGAGAGGCGGACGGGUGAGUAAUGCUUGGGAAUCUGCCUAUUAGUGGGGGACAACCCGGGGAAACUCGGGCUAAUACCGCAUACGCUCUACGGAGGAAAGCCGGGGACCGCAAGGCCUGGCGCUAAUAGAUGAGCCCAAGUCGGAUUAGCUAGUUGGUAGGAACGGCCUACCAAGGCGACAAUCCGUAGCUGGUCUGAGAGGACGACCAGCCACACCGGAACUGAGACACGGUCCGGACUCCUACGGGAGGCAGCAAGUGGGGAAUAUUGGACAAUGGGGGCAACCCUGAUCCAGCGACGCCGCGUGGGUGAAGAAGGCCUGCGGGUU
RNAcentral lists this ribosomal RNA (395 nucleotides) under uncultured bacterium. RNAcentral describes it as "bacterial SSU rRNA". It matches the Rfam family "Bacterial small subunit ribosomal RNA", at positions 29 to 424 of the family's 1533-position model. The record is from RNAcentral.